Molecule: ribosomal RNA, 314 nt
Filed under: uncultured eukaryote
Lineage: Eukaryota
Description: partial 18S ribosomal RNA
Rfam family: Eukaryotic small subunit ribosomal RNA
Source: RNAcentral
CCCUUAGAUGUCCGGGGCCGCACGCGCGCUACACUGAAGGAAUCAGCGUGGCUUUCUCCCUGACCCGAAAGGGUUGGGAAACCCGUUGAAUCUCCUUCGUGAUAGGGAUUGGGGCUUGAAAUUGUUCCCCAUGAACGAGGAAUUCCCAGUAAGCGCGAGUCAUAAGCUCGCGUUGAUUACGUCCCUGCCCUUUGUACACACCGCCCGUCGCUCCUACCGAUUGGGUGAGCCGAUGAAACUCUCGGAUGUAGGCUAUUCAUAGCCCGCAGAAGAGAUUUGAAUCGUAGCGCUUAGAGGAAGGAGAAGUCGUAACA